This 20-nucleotide non-coding RNA is filed under the name Mus musculus (house mouse). The record is from RNAcentral. Lineage: Eukaryota; Metazoa; Chordata; Mammalia; Rodentia; Muridae.
UGUGCUAGGACACCCUUAGA